AUGUCUUUUUUUUGGGGGGUGGCGGGGGUGGGGGGAGAAAUCCUCUCUAGAGCCGUAAGCGGAUCGGCCACACGGAGGAAGCAUUUGGGGGCUCAGGAAGAAAUUAGCGCAGCUCCAUACCUGUACGGACUACAUAACUUUUAAACUACUGGACUCAAAGGAUCCACAUACACACAGGUACAGGAAAUACAGUCAGACCAAAGCCUUUUCAGACCCAAGCUGACCGGAAGACGUUGCCUUUCAUUCAUUCAUUCUGCCCGCGUCUGUGGAGUCCUUUACUAGGCGAGAAGCCCUAGAAGAGAAGUUGGACAUUUUUUAAAGGUCCCUGCGCUCUCCAAGAAGAGGAAAUAGAUGCUCAGGAGUGAACUACCGAGAGAAUCGGAUCUGGCGCCUCCUAACGCAGCUGGCAAACAUGCGAAGGACCCUUCUGUCUCUCCAUGUGGUCGGUCUCAUGGUAUCCCCAAAAGCUGGUGUCAAGAGAAGACCCGAUGGCAGACACCUUAGUGUAAAAACAGUUAAGUCCAUAUAUCACCUGGAUGGGGAGUUCUGGCCUGUCAGAGUGGGAAGGGGUUGGGUAGUCACCUAAUUUAAUCCUGUCCCUUUACAAACCGCCAGGAAACCACAGACCAGAGAAAAGAAUGGGCCAACCAGGGGUUUGUUC
This 661-nucleotide long non-coding RNA is filed under the name Bos mutus (wild yak). RNAcentral describes it as "lncRNA (ENSBMUG00000018108.1)". Lineage: Eukaryota; Metazoa; Chordata; Mammalia; Artiodactyla; Bovidae. The record is from RNAcentral.